This is a long non-coding RNA of Cavia porcellus (domestic guinea pig), 2300 nucleotides long. Lineage: Eukaryota; Metazoa; Chordata; Mammalia; Rodentia; Caviidae. The record is from Ensembl.
UGUGGUUUUUGUUUGUUUAUUUGUUUGUUUGGUUUAUUAUUAUUUGUUUGUUUGUUUGUUUGUUUGUGGUACUAAGGAAUGAACCCAGGGAGUACUGUACUGAGCUACAUCUUUAUCUCCCCCCUUCCCCAAUUUACUUUCCUUAGUUUUGAGACAAGUUCUUACUAAGUUGCAAAGGCUGGUCUUAAAUUUACAAUCCUCCGGCCUCAACUUUCAAAAUAGCCGGGAUAAUGGGCUUGAGCCACCUCACCACUGGCAUAAGCCAGUCUGGCAGGAAACUGGGAAGUUGCUGCAAUGAACAUCUGCUACUUUCACAGUCCAGUAAUGAAAGUUUAAAAACGGGAGCUGCUAUUCUAAUUAUUUUUCAUUCCUUGCUUGACAGGAUGUAAUGGAAUUUGAAUCGCUGAAAAAAAGCCAAAGAUGAGAGGCAGAAUCACUAAAGGACACUCGGUGAGGUCCCAGCACUCUGCAUCAGGUCCGCUCUCCUUAGCUGCAUCCUGCUCAGAGAAGGUGUGUGGCGAAUAGGUUGGGAUGGGUUCCCCAGCAUUUCCCAAUGCGGCAGGAAGAGCAGACACCUGAUUGCUCUUGACACCAGAUUCAAGGACCGGUUGAUUCAGGCACAUCAAGAGCAGGAAAGAAGAACAAAAGUAGAGCGUACUCACAUGCCAGCCCUGCACAGCUGGGAAGCAGAGGCAAAGUGCAGAGGAUGGGGGUGUGAUGCGCCGGAAGACCAUGGAUGCAGCUCACUCCUCAGAUGCCAGAUGAUAUAUGCCAAGGCCUGGGCUGGUACCUACCAGGAAGCAGCAGAGGUGAUAAAACCCUCGGCAGCAUAACUGGCUUUAACAAUAACUUCCAGGAAAGUAAAAACAUGCUUUUGCAAAAAACAAAUACCAACAAAUGAGAGAGAAGUUUCUCAUUAGCAUCACGACAAAAGCCAGGCUGCUGACCAGCGUGAGAGUUUCAGAAAAAAAUAAUCAAGACAUAAUGCAUAUACAUACCAGCUCCUAAGGUGCAUGUAAUUAUUAUGUAUUGCAAACAUAUACUAACACAAAUAAUGAAUAAAAAGUUGAUUAAGAGUAAAAAAAAGGAUUUCAAAAAAGGAGAGGGAAAUAAGAAAGAAAGAAAGGAAUUCGCCCUUCCUGUGAGCCAGCAGAGCCAUGUGAGUCCUGGGAGGAGAAACAAGAAGCCAAUUUACCCUUCCCCAUGAGCCAACCAGUACACAGACUGCAAGACAAGAAACACACCCCAUUUCCCACAAACAACCAGCUGAUUCACAGGACAGGCUGAGUUGAUAGCAACUGAGGUACAAAAGCAAGCUAAUGCUUAUAUUGUUUGAUUGACUUUUCAGUCAUAAGGCUAGUAGCCUGAGCGUCUAUUAAGAGGAUAAUAAUAUACAAGGUAACAAAUAUGAAGGAUUUCCUUGUCUUGUUUUUGAGUGCCAAUAUUGUUCUCACUGUUUCGCUUUGUCCCACUUUAUUCUUUUGUUUUAUUCAAUGUUCUGUUUUAAUUGACUUUAUUCUGUUCUGUUUUGUUUAAUUUUACUAUGUCUGAUGGUAUGGACAGUGAUUUUGAAGAUAACAGAGGCAUUAUGGUAGCCAUUGUGGCUUUCCUAUUAUCCUGUUUUGAAAUUCUGAAUUACUUUCACUGUUUUGUUUUGAGUGGAUUUAUUCGGUUUUAUUUUGUUUGGUUUUAUUAUCUUUAAAAUAAAAAAAUUUUAAAAAGAAGGCAAGAAGGGUGAAGGGCCUGUACCUGUUCCUGACAACCCUGUCUCAAUAGCCAGUUACUGGGGCUCAUGUUUUAGAGUCAGAGAAAAGCAACAUCUCCUCCAACACAAGUUCCCUUUUUUUAUUUUUUGGUACCAGGGAUCUAACUCAGUCUCACAUUGCCAGGCAAGCACUUAAUCCACUGAGCUAAAUCCCUAGCCUGACAACUUCCCAUUAGAGAUAUCAAGUCCUGUGGCACCUGCACCAGAGUGGCACCGGUCAGACUCAUUGAACCAUUGACUCAUUUCCUCACCAAACAUCCCUGAGCAUCUGACAUACACCAAGCUCUGUGCUCAUGCUGGGGGGGACAAUGAUAGAUAAACAGAUUGUGCCUGCAUGGAGCCAACUCUUGGGACUGGAUCCAUUUCUCAUGGGCAGGUGUAAAAAAUAAUGCGGACACUCCACAUACGGUAAUGGUCGUCAUGGUGAUGACAGCAGCGUAUACUUUAUAAAGCCCUGCUGCAUCCCAGCCACUGUGUGCAGCAUCUGACGUGAGUCAUCUCCUUAAUGCUCACAAUGGCAGGAACUGCUAGUAAG